GGAGUUCUGAGUAAGGGCGUAUGGUGGAUGCCUUGACUGAAGAAGGCGAUGAAGGACGCGGCUUAGCUGCGAUAAGCUCCGGUAAGAUGCCAAGCAAUCGUUAUACCCGGAGAUUUCCGAAUGGGGCAACCCUAUCAAGUAAUCCUUGAUAACUCUCAACUUAAUCGUUUGAGAGAGCAGACCUCGGGAAGU
This 192-nucleotide ribosomal RNA is filed under the name Bacteroidia bacterium. RNAcentral's name for it is "partial 23S ribosomal RNA". It matches the Rfam family "Bacterial large subunit ribosomal RNA", at positions 1 to 194 of the family's 2925-position model. Lineage: Bacteria; Pseudomonadati; Bacteroidota; Bacteroidia. The record is from RNAcentral.